GCGCCAGACUCCUACGGGAGGCAGCAGUGAGGAAUAUUGGUCAAUGGUCGGGAGACUGAACCAGCCAAGCCGCGUGAGGGAGGAAGGUACAGAGUAUCGUAAACCUCUUUUGUCAGGGAACAAAGACUGGGACGCGUCCCCGGAUGAGUGUACCUGAAGAAAAAGCAUCGGCUAACUCCGUGCCAGCAGCCGCGGUAAUACGGAGGAUGCGAGCGUUAUCCGGAUUUAUUGGGUUUAAAGGGUGCGCAGGCGGAGGUGCAAGUCAGCGGUCAAAUUGCGGGGCUCAACCCCGUACUGCCGUUGAAACUGCAUACCUUGAGUGCGCGAGAAGUAUGCGGAAUGCGUGGUGUAGCGGUGAAAUGCAUAGAUAUCACGCAGAACUCCGAUUGCGAAGGCAGCAUACCGGCGCGCAACUGACGCUCAUGCACGAAAGCGUGGGUAUCGAACAGGAUUAGAUACCCGGGUAC
This 467-nucleotide ribosomal RNA is filed under the name uncultured bacterium. Its description in RNAcentral is "bacterial SSU rRNA". It matches the Rfam family "Bacterial small subunit ribosomal RNA", at positions 328 to 793 of the family's 1533-position model. The record is from RNAcentral.